Molecule: ribosomal RNA, 375 nt
Filed under: uncultured bacterium
Lineage: Bacteria
Description: bacterial SSU rRNA
Rfam family: Bacterial small subunit ribosomal RNA
Source: RNAcentral
UAAUACGUAGGGUGCGAGCGUUAAUCGGAAUGACUGGGCGUAAAGGGUGCGCAGGCGGUUUGUCAAGACGGAUGUGAAAUCCCCGGGCUUAACCUGGGAACGGCAUACGUGACUGGCAGACUCGAGUAUGGCAGAGGGAGGUGGAAUUCCACGUGUAGCAGUGAAAUGCGUAGAGAUGUGGAGGAACACCAAUGGCGAAGGCAGCCUCCUGGGCCAAUACUGACGCUCAGGCACGAAAGCGUGGGGAGCAAACAGGAUUAGAUACCCUGGUAGUCCACGCCCUAAACGAUGUCAACUAGUUGUUGGGGAUUUAUUUCCUUAGUAACGAAGCUAACGCAUGAAGUUGACCGCCUGGGGAGUACGGUCGCAAGAUUA